Molecule: long non-coding RNA, 702 nt
Filed under: Ananas comosus (pineapple)
Lineage: Eukaryota; Viridiplantae; Streptophyta; Magnoliopsida; Poales; Bromeliaceae
Description: long non-coding RNA (ACOM_LNC009157)
Source: RNAcentral
AUUGGUAACAUUUUGAGCAAGUUAAUUAUUGCUGUGUAAACGUUAAUUUUAAUCUUAAAAAAUGAAUGACUAGAUUUAAGUGAGCCAAUGUUUUGAAGCAUUUCUCUCCGAUUAAAAGCUCGCCAAAGUUGACUGAAAAUUUCUUACAAAACUGGAUUUGACAAUUGGGUUUUGGGUAAACUUCUGAUCGAAAUGUCCAACAAAUACUGUAAAAACUCAGUCCAAACUCAAAUUUAUUUGGUACUAACUAAAGCAAACACGCCCUCAAUUUAGUUCUCUUUCCGAACGCGCCCUCAGUGUUGUCAAAUAAACCCGACUCGAGCGUGUUCUGAUUCCGAUUCUGGCUCCAAUUUCAAGUUCAAACCAAGCACACUUCAAUGUAGUUUUCUUUUUAGACAGGGAUUAGCUAAUCUCACUCCUGGGAGGUGGUGGGGUUAGCUAAAUCUAGUCCCCAAAAAUUAUUUGGGGAUAAGAGGGGGAAUAAUCUCUUAUCCCCCCUAACUCCGAAUCAAACGCUGUGUAAAAAAAAAAAAAAAACGGUGAUUGAUUCAUUGUUUUUAUGAAAAAUUAGAAAGAUGGUGAAUUGAGAUAAAUGAUUCACCGUAUUUAAAGAAAAAAUUUCGACUCUUUGUAUAGCAAAAGAAGGAUUAGUUUGCCAAUUAUUUUUUUAAUAGCAUUAUUUAUCAAAUUAGAGAAUUUUAU